This 70-nucleotide ribozyme is filed under the name unclassified sequences. RNAcentral's name for it is "HDV ribozyme from F. prausnitzii". It matches the Rfam family "HDV ribozyme from F. prausnitzii". The record is from RNAcentral.
GUCAUCCAAAAGAGCAACCUCCACGAGGUGGAUGACGGGCAACGCAGAUACAUCUGUGGCUAAUACUCUU